UCCCUGGUGGUCCAGUGGUUGGGACUCUGCUCUUCAAAUGCAGAAGGCACUGGUUUGAUCCCUGGUUAGGGAU
This 73-nucleotide transfer RNA is filed under the name Bos taurus (domestic cattle). It matches the Rfam family "tRNA". Rfam says of the family: Transfer RNA (tRNA) molecules are approximately 80 nucleotides in length. Lineage: Eukaryota; Metazoa; Chordata; Mammalia; Artiodactyla; Bovidae. RNAcentral also lists the same sequence under 5 other names. The record is from Rfam by way of RNAcentral.